Molecule: unclassified non-coding RNA, 3860 nt
Filed under: Nilaparvata lugens (brown planthopper)
Lineage: Eukaryota; Metazoa; Arthropoda; Insecta; Hemiptera; Delphacidae
Description: cathepsin D, transcript variant X2
Source: RNAcentral
AGUCAGCUCUAGAAGUGUUUCAAACCAGUCGUGAAUUGGGAAUGAACUCUCAUUCUCUCAGCCAAAUAUAGCAGAGGCCACAGGCACAGCUCAGACCACAACAGACGAACAGACUGAAAACCUGUGUGGCUGAAUGAUUACCGUAUCAACUAUAUAGUUGUGUGUCUUCUACAAAAGUUUAUUCGCGGCAACUGUAUCUUCAAACAUACUGUAACGUUGUUUCUUCUUCUAAUAAGUAGCCAAUAUACAAUUUGGUACUUUUAUACGAGAUUAGAAUUAUGAGGAAAUUUGUAUUAGUAAUUCUAUUUGUAGCCUUAACGCAAAACAAUUGUUCUGCACAUGCAGAGCAAGAGACCUCCAAAAAUGUAACAUUACCAAAAUUUGUCACGUUUCCAUUGAUAUGGCAUCCUUCUCCUCGUUCAAGGCUUUUGGAAAUGGGUGUUCAUCCCCGAGUUAUUCAAAGUCUUGCCAUCAAUGAGUUUGCAAAGAAAAAAGGACCUGUGAAAAAUGAUACCGUACAAAUUUACAAAUAUUUGGAUUCUGAGUUUUAUGCUCAAGUUAACCUGGGUCACCCAGGUAAGCAAUUCUAUAUGGUUCUGGAUACAUCAUGGGGAGACUCCUUCGUACCAUCAGCUUCAUGCCCUGAAACUGAAAUUGCUUGCCAAACCAAGAAUAAGUACGACCACUCUCUAUCCUCCACGUAUGUGAACCCCAAUGAAGCAUACACUGUGAAUGGGAUGAUCGGUGAUCUUGCUAUGGACAUGCUACAUCUGGGACACGUUAAUGUGACUAAUUUCACAUUUGCUGAGCUCACGCAUGUUCCCAAGUCUAUGAUGUUUGAGAAGGCUGAUGGAAUACUUGGAAUGGGAUUCAAACAAUUGAACGCCUAUAAUAAACUUCCGUUUUUUUACCGUCUAACCGAGUUGAAUCCACAAAUGGAAAAGGUGUUUGCUUUCUACUUCAAUAGAGCUCCUGCCACUAGAAAAGGAGGAACUGUAGCGCUGGGUAUGGUUCAGAAGAAACAUUAUUUUAAACCAAUCAAUUACUUCAACGUUAUAUCAAAUAAUUAUUGGGAAAUCAAAAUGGACAAGGUGAUUCUUGAAGAACGCAAGACUAAAAACAAUACUCUGUGUGCGUCUGGCUGCAAAGCAUUGUUUGAUACUGGCACAACUACAAUAAGUGCUCCAUCAGAUGAUCUGAAAAUCAUCAAUAAAAUAACCAAAGCUACUGAAGUUCCCAAUCUUGGACGAUUUUCGGUGGAUUGCAAGACCAUAACUCAGCUUCCAAGCAUACAUUUCUUCUUCAACGGAAUCGAGCACAGUAUUAAGGGAAAAGAAUACGUUAGUAAUCUGAAGGUGGGUCAACAGAGCUUCUGUGUGACUGCCUUUGAAGCUUCGCAGCUCCCCAACACCUGGGCUAUUGGUAGCACUUUCUUAUACCGACAUUACUCAGUAUUUGAUUUGGACAAGAGACAGGUUGGACUUGCCAAGAGUAAAUACUAAAGUUACCAGCUUCAUAAAAUUAUUAUAUCUUACAUAAUUUUUUUACUCUUGAGGUGAAUAUUUUUCAACUUCUGCUAUAGUUGGGAACCUAAUCUGCAAAGAUAAUCAAACUACAGUAGGUACUGUAUAAAAUAUUUGCCGAGAGUCCAAACUAACAAGUCUAUAUAUUUUACUGUACUUAAUUUUUGUACUCUUUAUGUGAAUAUUUUUUAAAAUUUUGCUUUAGUUGGGAACCUAAUCUGCAAAGGUAAACAAACUACAGUAGGUACUGUAUUAAUUAUUUGUCAAGUCCAAACUAACUAGUUACUAAGUUUACAAAAAUGAUUUCUAAAAUACUUAAUUUCUAUUAUUAUGGAAUAACUUUAAAAAACUCAAGUUAGGUAUACUUGAAGAAAUUUUUUCCAGUAAAUCUGAUUUAGUUGAUCAUGACAUAGGUUUUUAGAUACAAUUCCAGUUUUAUUUUUUAUAGUCUUCCUUUUUGAUGGGUGCAUUUCAUAUUAUGAUUGUAAGAGUGAAAAAGAAAAAUUAUAAAUAACAAGAGCAUUUCCUGUUUUUAAUAUUGGGUAUUAAGUAUUGAAUAAUAUAAGGCUAUUUUAUCGUCUCUAUUCCUGUUUUGAAAUGAGGAUUUGAUUCUUGAAAUCCACUUUAAAUUGGAUGAUCAAAUUACAAAAAUGAUGUAUAGAAUCAGUAAAACUAGCUUCAUUAUUAUGCUUGCUUUCCUGUGUACACUACAAAAUAGAGUUUUCUAGCAGACUUUCACCUAUAGCUCAGGUUAUUACCGUACAUAAUUAUUAUUAUAUUUAUAAUUUUACACUCCAAUGAUCUCCUCCAAAACGAAAAAUGUAUCUGGUGAUAUUCAGGAAUAUAACAUUUGACUACUUCCAAUCUUCUUGCAAUCCGAACUACUAAUUCUAAUCAACCACAAAUUACAGGACAGUUUUAGCUUUUAUUGGUAACUGAACAAUCGAUAUGCCACUGUCCACUCUCAUAUUUCAUAUGGCAUUGAGAUUUAUGGUGGGACUAGUGCAUUUAACUUGAAUAGGAUAUUAAAACUCCAAAAAGAAGCAGUAAGAAAAAUAUUUAAUUUAAAUAGACAAGAGUCGCGCAGGACAUUUUUUAAAAAGUUAGAAUUAAUGACGACAAAUUCCCCAGGCAAUCCAGUGUGCAUGACUAUAAUACAAGAAAUAGGAACAACUUUAUUAUCAAAGAACAUAGUAAAGAGAAGAACAAACAAAGCCCAACCUAUAUGGGCAUCAAAUUCAUUACUUACCUUCCUACUAGUAUUAAACAUGAAAAAGAUAUUACAAGGUUUGAAAACAAACUGAAAAAGUAUAUCGUGAAAUUAGAAUUAUACAGUUAUGAAGAAUUUUAUAGUGCCAACUCAUUGUGUAUUUAGACUACCUAUUGUUGAUGUAUUUUGUUUUUUACUUGUAUUUAUUUUAUUAUUUUGUUGAAAGUAAUAAAGAAAGACGCAUUCAUGUACAUUUUGAUGUAUGUUUUGAAUAAAGAGAUUGAUUGAUUGAUAUGCAGGUUUUAAUAAGACUCAUGGAGGUGAAAAGUAGAAAAUUAAAAAUACUCAACCAUUUUCUCAUCGAGAACAAACUGCUUGCUUUUGAAAUUUUCUAUAUUAUCUGUUUUUAAUACUUACCUACUUCAUGAAUGCAUGAUUCGAGUUUAUCAAAGAUUCUUAAAAAAUUGGGAGAGGAUUAAAUAAAUAAGACAACGUUAAUAUAAUUUCUUCAAUAAUAGUCUAUUCAACCUUCAUAUUUUUACAUACUAUAUACACAUAUAUAUUUAUAUUAGUGAUAAUAAUUGUAGCAUUUCUCUAUCUUGAAUAUUGAUGUACUGUUCAACUUAUGUACAGAGUGUCUCACUGAUUUUGAUUCUGUUUCUUUUUUCUGGUAAAAUAUUCAUUUCAAUAAACUUGUGUAUUGUAGAAAUAUUUCUCUACGGUGCUGAUUACUAUUUCAAUCAAUUUAUACUGAGAAGUAACUAAUUGAUAGUUAGUUGUGAAGAAUGAAAUGUUUAGAUUGGUGUGUUUUGAAUUCAUCCACGAUAGAAGAUUACAACUGAGUAAAACUGAAAUAUUUGUGAGUCUCAAAGUAGCUUAUUACAAUGAGAAAUUAUCUGGUGUGAAACAUGGAAUUUGUUUUUAUAGAGAAAUGCAUCAACUCAUUGGGUACAUUACAGAAUAAAUUGUAUGAAAUCGUGAGACACUCCAUGUACAACCUUGAUUCAAGGUUCAAGUUAUACAGAAUGCAUUCAAAGAUGUAGUCAAACUCAGUAACUAGUCUACUAUUAACGAACAAAACAAUAUGAAUUGAAUUUUAAACCAAUAAAUUAUUUUGUAUUGAAAAA